AGGGAAUCUUCCGCAAUGGACGAAAGUCUGACGGAGCAACGCCGCGUGAGUGAAGAAGGUUUUCGGAUCGUAAAACUCUGUUGUUAAAGAAGAACAAGGAUGAGAGUAACUGCUCAUCCCCUGACGGUAUUUAACCAGAAAGCCACGGCUAACUACGUGCCAGCAGCCGCGGUAAUACGUAGGUGGCAAGCGUUGUCCGGAUUUAUUGGGCGUAAAGCGAGCGCAGGCGGUUCUUUAAGGCGGAGGUGAAGGCCCCCGGCGCAACCGGGGAGGGGCAUUGGAAACUGGAGAACUUGAGUGCAGAAGAGGAGAGUGGAAGGCCACGUGUAGCGGGGAAAUGCGUAGAGAUGUGGAGGAACACCAGUGGCGAAGGCGACUCUCUGGUCUGUAACUGACGCUGAGGCUCGAAAGCGUGGGGAGCAAACA
Molecule: ribosomal RNA, 426 nt
Filed under: uncultured bacterium
Lineage: Bacteria
Description: bacterial SSU rRNA
Rfam family: Bacterial small subunit ribosomal RNA
Source: RNAcentral